This is a long non-coding RNA of Dermacentor albipictus, 307 nucleotides long. RefSeq lists it as uncharacterized. NCBI's taxonomy places the organism in Eukaryota, Metazoa, Arthropoda, Arachnida, Ixodida, Ixodidae. The record is from RefSeq and is a predicted model, not a curated record.
GUCGACCGUAGCUACAUACGAGCCUGAAGUCAAGCCAGAAAUAGUAUUCGAUGCAGAAGCUGAUGCAGUGAAAUGGCAGAAGCAUGAGGUCUUCCUGGACGACAAGCCUACCGAAACAAGGAGUUGGCGGCAAAGCCUCAAAAAGCCUCAAGAAGAUGAGAGCCCUCUUCAAUCACCCCGCAUAUAUGAAAUGAAGCCUGGACAUAGUGCUGGCCUCGUGGAGAUUCGACCGGCUGCCGUGUCUCUUUCAUGUUAGAAGCAACGAAAGCAUUCUUCUUGCACAACUGUUACAGGCGGUCGUACUAAG